Musa acuminata AAA Group (dessert banana) is the source of this 1151-nucleotide long non-coding RNA. RefSeq lists it as uncharacterized. The transcript is spliced from 3 exons. The record is from RefSeq and is a predicted model, not a curated record. NCBI's taxonomy places the organism in Eukaryota, Viridiplantae, Streptophyta, Magnoliopsida, Zingiberales, Musaceae.
AGGCAUGGGAUUUAACCCCAUCCAAUUCCCUACCAACAACAGUUGCAAGGGAGACCGAAGGGCUAAAUCCUCAAACCCCAUCCUCUCUUCUCCGCCCUUCUCGGUCUCUCUCUACCUCCCGCCCUCCCCCCCCUCCCUUCCCUUCUCUUCACUCCCAAAUCUCUUCUUCCUCCUCCUCUACCAUGCCAACCCCCCACAGUGGGUAAUAAAUACUCCCCAACCCCACCAAAUUCCCUCCUCCCAUACCCUUCCAAGACCAAAAGAAGGAGACCGGCCUCUUCUCACGAAGAGACAUGGCUUGUGCCUCUGCACCUCAAUCUCUCCUCCUCUUCCUCUUUCUCCUCUUCUUUGUUGCCUCCACAUCCCACCUCACAUUCUCCGUAGAUGCUGCGGGCGGGCCGACGGCGUCGAUGAAGCCGGCGUCGGCGGUGGCGCCGGGGCUCAAAUCGGUGCUGAUCGACGAGGCCAAGCGGCGCCGACUCAGCAGCUUCCAGAUAUGCGCUCUCUGCACCUGCUGCGGAGGCCCGCGGGGCAUCUGCCUUCCUUCUCCAUGCUGCUACGCCAUCAACUGCAACAUCCCCAACAGGCCCUUCGGUUUCUGCUCCUUCACCCCCAAGACAUGCAACUGCUUUGGGUGCCACCUCUGAGACACUCUUCUCCCCCUCCUAGGUGAAUAGUUUGGAACAGAAUAAACACACCUCAUGGUUUUGUUGAGCUGGGAUCAUUGAAGAGAGUGCACUGUUUUCAUGUCUCCACCAGUGGAGGCUUCACAAGGUGUUUGGUCUUCCAUCUUUCCAUCCUGGAGGAGACAAAGGGUUGUGGUCAUCAAUUUGUUUCCCCCCCCCCCCCCUCCCCAAGACCACUGUUGUAACUUAGGUGUUUUCUAGAUCAAACAGGUGAAUGUGUACUGCCCUCUGCAUGUGGGAUCUCAUGAGGAGGGUAGGGGUUGAUGACCCCACAAUCUUUAUUUGCAAUAUGCAACUGUGCAUGUCAUGGAAGGCUUUUUUGAGGAGGGGGAAUCUGGUUGACCAAUUCAUGGAGGGUAUUCCCUCCCUCCAUGUGCCUGGCAUGUUUCUUCUUUACAGCCAUGUCUGCUAGUACUGUUUGAGGCAACUGAUAACCCACACUAUGAUAUAAGCUUGUGACCAAUA